AGUGAACGCUGGCGGUAGGCCUAACACAUGCAAGUCGAACGGCAGCACAGUAAGAGCUUGCUCUUACGGGUGGCGAGUGGCGGACGGGUGAGGAAUACAUCGGAAUCUACUUUUUCGUGGGGGAUAACGUAGGGAAACUUACGCUAAUACCGCAUACUACCUACGGGUGAAAGCAGGGGAUCUUCGGACCUUGCGCGAUUGAAUGAGCCGAUGUCGGAUUAGCUAGUUGGCGGGGUAAAGGCCCACCAAGGCGACGAUGCGUAGCUGGUCUGAGAGGAUGAUCAGCCACACUGGAACUGAGACACGGUCCAGACUCCUACGGGAGGCAGCAGUGGGGAAUAUUGGACAAUGGGCGCAAGCCUGAUCCAGCCAUACCGCGUGGGUGAAGAAGGCCUUCGGGUUGUAAAGCCCUUUUGUUGGGAAAGAAAAGCAGCAGGUUAAUACCCCGCUGUUCUGACGGUACCCAAAGAAUAAGCACCGGCUAACUUCGUG
Molecule: ribosomal RNA, 492 nt
Filed under: uncultured bacterium
Lineage: Bacteria
Description: partial 16S ribosomal RNA
Rfam family: Bacterial small subunit ribosomal RNA
Source: RNAcentral